CCCCGGGUCASUGCAGCCUUUCGGCCUAGAGCAGCGGAGGGCACUGAUGCUUCGUCAGAGCUUUUCUUGACUCAGCCGUGCUGUUGCAACUGCCGCCCAGCGAGCAGCACUUCCCUGCAGCAGACAGAYGAUCCAGAGGCUGGAGAUCCAGUAAAGACGUAGCCCAGCCCGUCUCAGCACAGCUCCGCACAGCCCCAGCUCAGACACUUGAAGAGGCUGGGGAGGGGACGACACUAGCGCACAGCCAACACUGCAACACACACACUCCUCCUCUCCCACUCUCUCUCUCUCUCUCUCUUUCUCUCUCUCUCUCUCUCUCUGUUGGUGCUCAGCUCUGCACAGCUCCUUCACUCGUUCGCUGCUGAUUCACUCGCUCCCUCGCUUGCCUCUCCUCUGCCAGUCGCUCUGCCUUGUUGUGUUCUGCCUGCCUUCCUGCCUGCCUGAGAAUGGUCCAGCCGGUGCCUAAGGGUCUGCUGUCGUGGCCUGUCUGAACACACGCAUAAACACACAGCGCCAGUCGACACGCGGAUGCCCACGCACACUAACUGGAGAGCUAUGUGAGAGAGGAAGUGCCUUCCCUGAUGUCUGCUGCAGCUUUGACCUGCUUCUACAGCUGAAGCUCCACCCUCCCCCCCUCGCUCGCCCGCUUGCUGCCACAGUAAUACAAGUCUAAGGACAGCAGCCGCACCCUUUCCCCGCCGCCUACGCUCCGACACCAGUCGUCCCCUUUCUGCCAUCGCCAACCACUGCACCCAGCUGGGCCCCCAGCCUCAGCUUUCCUCACAGGACAGCCACUUCCGCUCACCACCAGCCGACCAGCCUUACCACUGCAGCCCAGCACACCACCAGGCCCGCGCAGCAUCUCACACACCUUUGCCUUUCACCUUCGCCUUUGACCCUUGAAGCCUCCACUCAGUCCUCAGUGUCCUUAACCUCCCUGAAGCAGACUAUACCCCCGAGUGUCGCCUUCGUCGCCUGCUUCACCGCACCUAACCAGAGUGCUCUCAUUUGUAGGCGAGAGUAAGCAAUAAACAAAUUGACAGAAAGGUCAAGCCAAAACGGACAACUUUUUAGGUAGUUUUUCUUUUCUUUUCCUGGAUUUACUCACAGGUGUUGUUUGAUCAGGAAAAUGACUCAUUAGCAUCAAACAUUGUCCUGCAACAUUUCAAAAGGAGCCCUCUCAAUCGACUGACGCCUUUUUUUUAAUUUUGAAUGUUUCAUUUGAGCACGUCACAGACAGCAACAGCAAAAAAUCAGAAAGGACUCUGAAGUCGUGGAAUAAAACACUAGACUUUAUUCGCGAUUGAACACAUCUCUGCGAGGAAUAUUUGGGCUACAGAGUUGCCAUGGCCAUGAACAUAGCACAUAUCCGUGACACAAAGUGGCUGACGCUGGAAGUGUGCCGGGAGUUUCAGAGGGGCACCUGCUCGCGCUCCGACCAGGAGUGCAAGUUUGCUCAUCCGGCCAAGAGCUGCCAGGUGGACAACGGCCGGGUGAUCGCGUGCUUCGAUUCGCUAAAGGGCCGUUGUUCCAGGGAGAACUGCAAGUACCUGCACCCCCCUCCCCAUCUAAAGACCCAGCUAGAAAUCAAUGGCAGGAACAAUCUGAUCCAGCAGAAGAACAUGGCCAUGCUGGCCCAGCAGAUGCAGCUCGCCAACGCAAUGAUGCCCGGCACGCAGCUACCCCCUAUGCCUAUAUUCCCAGUGACACCAGGCCUGGCUACUAAUGCCAGCGCAGCAGCAGCUGCUGCAGCUGCAGCCUUUAAUCCCUACCUGAGCCCUGUGUCUCCAAGCCUGAUGCCUCCAGAGAUCCUGCCCAGCACCCCGGUCCUCAUGGCCUCCAGCCCCACCGUCAGCCAGGUUCCCAAUGCUGCUGCAGCCCAGAAGCUGCUGAGAACAGACAGACUUGAGGUGUGUCGGGAGUAUCAGAGAGGAAACUGUGCUCGGGGCGAAGGCGAGUGUCGCUUCGCUCACCCUGCAGACAGCACCAUGAUCGACACCAACGACAACACCGUCACCGUGUGCAUGGACUACAUCAAGGGUCGGUGCUCCAGGGAAAAGUGCAAGUACUUUCACCCGCCGGCACAUCUGCAGGCCAAAAUUAAGGCCACCCAGCAUCAGGUGAACCAGGCCACAGCGGCCGCAGCCAUGACUCAGUCGGCUGUCAAAUCACUGAAGCGACCCCUCGACGCAACCUUUGACCUGGGCAUUACCCCUAGUGUCAUGGCGCCCCUCCCAAAGCGGGCAGCCCUGGAGAAGGCCAACGGGGCCACUGCCAUGUUUAACACCGGCAUGCUCCAGUACCAACAAGCCCUGGCCAGCAUGCAGUUUCAGCAGCAGGCUGCUUUCCUCCCAUCAGGCUCAAUUUUGUGCAUGACACCUGCAGCCAGCGUUGUUCCCAUGAUGCACGGUGGUACUCCAGCCACUGUGUCUGCAGCCACCACAUCUGCCACAAGCGUUCCCUUCGCAACUGCCUCCACCAAUCAGGACUCUUCCUUAUCAAAGUUGACUACCAACGAAUACAUGCAAUUGGUAUGUAUGAGAUUCCAAUAAUAUCUGCAGAUCAUCUGAGUAGUCACAAGUACUUGACUCAAAUGUAGUUCCUCUCAAGAACAAUCAAAUGAAUGUGUGCUGGCACCGUCCAAGCCAAAAGAGUUUAAGCCUUUAUGUACGUAACCUUCGGAAUGUCAAGAAACGGGACAAAGGAGGUUGUGCCAUCUCUCAGCCUGCCCACACCAGUGGUCUCAUCCCACGUGUAAACAUCAAGGGUACAACACGUGAUCUGUGCCAUCUUCCCACAUAUCAAUACCAAGAAGAAUUUGCCAUCAAAUUCAAACGUCCAGCCGAGAAGAAGAAAAGGAUAACAUGGCGCCGAGGGGAGGGGGACGUUCACACGAUACCUCUGUGUCUAACUGARUUAUCAGUCUACUCACCGUCAUCACUGCAUGCACAGAAGGUCAAGAGCGUUGUUACAUGAGACAAACAUCAAGUGCUGGUACGUUAGUAGACCAAGAGCUUUUUUAUUUUAUUUUAUUCAAUUUUCAUUUUUAUUUUUUGUUUCCUGCUUAAUUUUAUUAUUCUUUUUUAAUUGAUAGCCAUAUUUCAUAGUUUACAAGAGAAACACAAAUAUGCACCUUGAAUUUGAUUGAAAUCGGAAAGGCACAAUAAUAUUAACAGAUUUCUUUUUUGUUUGUCUUCUUUGCCAAAUACAAUAGGCAUGUACAGUAUUGUGUUUUACAGCAACUAGUGAAACUAGAUGUUGAAAUGAGGGUCUUGGACAUAUGAAUGUUCUGGGUAAACCAACAUACCUGUGUACCUUGAAAGCACAGCCAGGCUAGCUUCUUUCACCUUGUCUUGUGCCAUCAAGGCCAUACAGCUAAAUAUAAAAAACCAGAGUGUUAUCUCAGCAGUGUUAUUUGUUUACCGAAGGUAGAAAAGUUUUGUAUGGCUCUUUUUAUUUUUAUCGAUUUGUUUUCAGAUUAUUCAUUGUGAGUGUUUUUUUUUUAUCUUAUUUUAUUUCUAAAUUAAUUUUAAAAGUGGACUUUUCACCAAAUUACAUUGACUGUUAAGUUUUUAAUCAGAAUUGAGUUUUUCUUUUAAGGUUUCUAGUAACUCUUUUAAUAAAUGUUUGGUUUUAGUCAGGAUUAAAGUGUGAAUCGAGUCCAUCCACUAAAGCCUGAUGGGGUUGUGGGCGUGGCUUCAGUAGGCAUUGUGUUACCUUGACCCCGCCCUCCUUUUUUAAAAUAAGGAGCAGCUCGAAAAACUGUGUCUCAGUGUUGAGUCGUGUGUUGAUGGGAUAAUUUGAAACAACAGACCCAAAGGUCUAUUAGGUCAUUCAAACCACAUGUGCACUUGAAUUUGUCUCGUCACCCCUGUUUUUAUUUUUCUCAAUCCACCCUGAAUCAACCCGCAUUUCUUCGAGUCGUCAUUUUUCUGUUUUAUAUUACAAGUAAAACACGGAGGUUUUAAUCAGCUUGUAUAUCCGACUAUAAAAAACCAAAGCACAGUUUUUUCUCUUAAGUCUUAUUCAUUUUAGAUUUUAGAAACAUCUCUAAAGAGGCUUAAACAAUUAAGGAAACAAUGUUUAUUACCUUUUUUUUUCCAGUGUGUUUUAUGAUUGUUUCCCUUUUUGUGUUGUUAAAGACGUGUGUAUUUUAUCUUAACUGAUUGUUGUGACUAACGAAGCCUUAGAUUACAAUUAAUGGGUCUGAGCCCAAUCAAAUGUCUUUUCAAUCACCGUGCAGGUAAAACGAGAGAGAGAAAAAAACGAACACCAACAAUGUUUUAUAGUUCUCACCAACUGCUUUCCAUCUUUUAUUGUUUUCUCUGUAAAAGAAUUAAUUACUCUUUAAAAUUUCAUUGAAUUUCUGUGUUAUGUACUACUUAAGGAUUUGAAUCUAUUUGAGAUACGUAGUUUUAGAUUUUCUCUUUUGUUUUUUGUUUGUUUUUUGCCUUACUAUAAUAUUACUUGACAACAUUCAUAUAGUUGUUGUAGAUAUUAAGAUAGUAUGACAUUCAUAACUUUUUCAAACCAUAUAAAGGAUAAUGUGUUAAAUAUUCACUUCGUUCAUAUAGCUGGAUGUCUCAGUUAAUUAUAUCAACGAGAAACGUUUUGAUACAAGGAACGAGAUCAACUAAACAGCUGCCUCAGCAGCUUCUCUAGGCGUGCGUGUGAGAAACUUAACAACUCUCCUUGUAAAAUGUUGUCAUGUUUUUUGAAAAUACUAUAUUGCAUUGAAAUAUAGGCUGUCCAUGUUUUAAGAGUACAAAUUAUUUUCUACUGUAUCCAUUUCAAAGAGAUAUGUACUUUUUCGAUUUGUUUUUUGUUUCAAAUAUUAAGUUUGCCCUGAAUGUCAGGCCAAAACGAGCAGUGAGAGCGAUGUCGAGGUUCGGUGAGGUUCGGAGCGAGAAAGCAAAAGGCUUUUCCCACCGAGGAUGAGUCCGAAAUGCUGCAGAUCACGAGUUCUAACCUAAGGGACGAAGGUUUACUUUUUGCACUUCUGUAUAUAGUAAAAAUGAACAGAGAGAAAAAAAUAAAAAUAAAAAGUGUAUCAUAUUGAGAUAUUAUUUUGAAUAAAAAAAGAUCUAUAAUUAUAAGGAAUUUUGUUAGAUUAAUUUAAAUUCUUAAAUUAGACCAGCUAAAUUUUUUUUGCUUGCAAAGGAGGGCACUAGUUUUUUUGGCCAAUGCAUUCAGAGAAAGCUACGCGCUUUUUUGUCUUAUUUUCUAGUCGGCUCAUAAUGCCAGGGAAUGUUGCCGGGGAUCAGAUACCCCCAUGUCAUGCUAACUCUGCCUCACAUAGGAUAACCAACACAGUAAGAUCCACGUAUCAUUUACUGGAAUUGAUCUAUAUGUAGWACUGCUCAUCCAUGAAUCUUAUAAAGAAAUAGAAUUUAUUAUAGUUUGAUUUGACUGCAUGAUAAACAAAAGAUGCUGUGUAAAUAUAAAAGGGGRAAAAACCUUCAGAUUACAAAAACCACAAUACUUUUGUUUGUUUCAGGUUAUACAUGMCAUAGAUAACAUCCAGUGUGUAAUAAUACCUUAAAAUAAACAAGUUGUCUUACUCGUUUCUGUGCAAACAUGUUAUUUAAAGAGUAAUAACAUCUUAGCACCCAGUUCUGUUCAGAUGACUUCACAGUCCCCCACUAACUCACAAGCAGUUGCUUCUGCUUUCGUAUAUCUGUGCACUCAGCAGGUGGAGGCUCUUCACACCAAAAUGCGGCGAAUCAGUCUUUAAACAUGAAUGUAAAAUUUUUUUUUAAAAGUCAGUGUCAGUAUGUUUCUCACUCGAGGCUGCUUUGUAAAGUCGCUACAGAACCAAAGCACCAUUUUUUAUUUUUUUGUUUUCCUCCAAACCAAACUUUUUAAAUCUUCUGGCUGCAACCAAGGUCUGUUUCUCUCUUCCCCCGCUGGGCGCACAUGUUCGCUUUGACUGCUUUUUACUUGGAAAUGCACCCACCAGUUAUGUAUCUGCUAACAGUUGCCACAAGAUAAUGUACUCUUCUGUCUCCAGAUUUGUUUAAGCACAUUUUACUGUUGCCAUUAUUGACUCUUGCUGUAUGGAUGAAAAAAACAACAACUUCUGAAUAAAGCAAUUUGAUUUGCUCAUGCAACAA
Molecule: RNA transcript, 6113 nt
Organism: Austrofundulus limnaeus
Lineage: Eukaryota; Metazoa; Chordata; Actinopteri; Cyprinodontiformes; Rivulidae
Gene: mbnl1
Gene name: muscleblind-like splicing regulator 1
Exons: 13
Source: RefSeq, a predicted model, not a curated record